Molecule: non-coding RNA, 218 nt
Organism: Lonchura striata (white-rumped munia)
Lineage: Eukaryota; Metazoa; Chordata; Aves; Passeriformes; Estrildidae
Source: RefSeq, a predicted model, not a curated record
CAGAGGCUGAAGAGCCUCCUCCCCCAAAAGCGCCAGAAAGGAAGCUUGCAAACCAGUUCAACUUCAUUGAGAGAGGUUCAACUACAUACCACAAUCCUAUGCGGGAAAGAGGAUUGCAAACUGACCCUGCACCUUUUGAAACUUUCUCAGAAAAUGUUAACCAGUGGUUUAUCUAUGAUGUGUAUAUGGAGGAACUUGAGAGAAUGGAAAAGGCAAAA